RNAcentral lists this long non-coding RNA (332 nucleotides) under Nicotiana benthamiana. RNAcentral's name for it is "long non-coding RNA (NBEN_LNC011738)". Lineage: Eukaryota; Viridiplantae; Streptophyta; Magnoliopsida; Solanales; Solanaceae. The record is from RNAcentral.
UUUAUGUGCCUAGUCAAACUACCCGUGCCGCUACGGUCUCCAGUAAAUUUAUGAAUCAGUAAUUUCCCACAAGUUUUACACUUAGCCUUAUUUAGUUCUCUUAGUUGAGUAAAAAAAUUCCAAACAAAUGAUGUUUCUUGACGUUUAGCAGGUUGUCUAUUAAAAGUUGGAGUUUCUAUAGGUGGGUCGGCCGGUGCAUUACUUGAGUUAUGUUUCUGGACGUUUAGCAGGUUGUCUACUAAAAGUUGGAGUUUCUACAAGUGGGUAGGCCGGUGCAUUACUUGAGUUAUGAACAGAACUAGUAGGUGUAUCAUCUAAAUCUGGUGCUUGGG